Molecule: ribosomal RNA, 425 nt
Filed under: uncultured bacterium
Lineage: Bacteria
Description: bacterial SSU rRNA
Rfam family: Bacterial small subunit ribosomal RNA
Source: RNAcentral
UCGAGGAUCUUCGGCAAUGAGCGAAAGCUUGACCGAGCGACGCCGCGUGCGGGAUGAAGGCCUUCGGGUUGUAAACCGCUUUCGUAGGGGAGGAAAUUUCGGUGGGAUCACUCAUCGAUUUGACCUAGCCUAGGAAGAAGGACGGGCUAAGUUCGUGCCAGCAGCCGCGGUAAUACGAACCGUCCAAACGUUAUUCGGAAUUACUGGGCUUAAAGGGUGCGUAGGCGGCCCGGGAAGUUGGGUGUGAAAGCCCUCGGCUCAACCGAGGAACUGCGCCCAAAACUGCCAGGCUCGAGGGAGAUAGAGGUGAGCGGAACUUAGGGUGGAGCGGUGAAAUGCGUUGAUAUCCUAAGGAACACCGGUGGCGAAAGCGGCUCACUGGGUCUCUUCUGACGCUGAGGCACGAAAGCUAGGGUAGCGAACGG